This 798-nucleotide ribosomal RNA is filed under the name uncultured archaeon. Its description in RNAcentral is "bacterial SSU rRNA". It matches the Rfam family "Archaeal small subunit ribosomal RNA", at positions 129 to 877 of the family's 1478-position model. The record is from RNAcentral.
AGCCCGGGAAACUGGGGCUGAUCCUCGAUAGAUGACCUCAUCUGGAAGGAGUGGUCGUCCAAAGGGGGACACGGGUAUGCUCUGUGUCAUCCGCUCCAGGAUGGGACUGCGGCCGAUCAGGCUGUUGGCGGGGUAAUGGCCCACCAAACCUGUAACCGGUACGGGCUUUGAGAGAAGGAGCCCGGAGAUGGACACUGAGACAAGGGUCCAGGCCCUACGGGGCGCAUCAGGCGCGAAAACUUCGCAAUGCGCGAAAGCGUGACGAGGCUAGUCCGAGUGCUCUCUGCUAAAGAGGGCUUUUCUCGGCUGUAAAUAGGCCGGGGAAUAAGGGGAGGGCAAGUCUGGUGUCAGCCGCCGCGGUAAUACCAGCUCCUCGAGUGGUCGGGACGAUUAUUGGGCCUAAAGCACCCGUAGCUGGUUCCGUAAGUCCUCUGUUAAAUCCAGUCGCUCAACGGCUGGUCUGCAGGGGAUACUGCGAGACUAGGAGGCGGGAGAGGCGGACGGUACUCCGCGUGUAGGGGUAAAAUCCUUUGAUCCGCGGAAGACCACCAGUGGCGAAGGCGGUCCGCCAGAACGCGCUCGACAGUGAGGGGUGAAAGCUGGGGGAGCGAACCGGAUUAGAUACCCGGGUAGUCCCAGCCGUAAACGAUGCGAGCUAGAUGAUUCAGUCGCAGUUCGCGAUUGAAGUGUCGCAGGGAAGCCGUUAAGCUCGCCACCUGGGGAGUACGGUCGCAAGGCUGAAUUGCGAUCAGAUGUUUUCUGUUCGCACAGUUCACUUAAAGGAAUUGGCGGGGGAGC